GCCAGACUCCUACGGGAGGCAGCAGUGGGGGAUAUUGCACAAUGGGGGGAACCCUGAUGCAGCGACGCCGCGUGGGUGAAGGAGCGUUUCGGCGCGUAAAGCCCUAUCAGCAGGGAAGAAAUUGACGGUACCUGAGUAAGAAGCUCCGGCUAAAUACGUGCCAGCAGCCGCGGUAAUACGUAUGGAGCAAGCGUUAUCCGGAUUUACUGGGUGUAAAGGGAGCGUAGGCGGCCUGCCAAGUCUGAUGUGAAAUACCGGGGCUCAACCCCGGGGCUGCAUUGGAAACUGGCAGGCUGGAGUGUCGGAGAGGCAGGCGGAAUUCCUAGUGUAGCGGUGAAAUGCGUAGAUAUUAGGAGGAACACCAGUGGCGAAGGCGGCCUGCUGGACGAUGACUGACGCUGAGGCUCGAAAGCGUGGGGAGCAAACAGGAUUAGAUACCCGAGUA
RNAcentral lists this ribosomal RNA (445 nucleotides) under uncultured bacterium. RNAcentral's name for it is "partial 16S ribosomal RNA". It matches the Rfam family "Bacterial small subunit ribosomal RNA", at positions 330 to 792 of the family's 1533-position model. The record is from RNAcentral.